Molecule: ribosomal RNA, 407 nt
Filed under: uncultured bacterium
Lineage: Bacteria
Description: partial 16S ribosomal RNA
Rfam family: Bacterial small subunit ribosomal RNA
Source: RNAcentral
GACGAACGCUGGCGGCGUGCCUAAUACAUGCAAGUAGGACGCAGUUGCGAACGGGUGAGUAACGCGUAGGUAACUGCCUAUUAGAGGGGGAUAACUAUUGGGAAGGAUAGCUAAUACCGCAUACUAGGAGAUGGACCGGCGUUGUGUUAGCUAGUAGGUAGGGGAAUGGCCUAACUAGGGGAAGAUACAUAGCCGACAUGGGAGGGUGAACGGGCAAACUGGGAAUGGGACCCGGCCCAAAACCCUUAGGGAGGCAGGAGGAGGGAAUAUUUGGAAAUUGGGGGAACCCUGACCGAGCACCGCCGGCGGAGUGGAGAAGGGUUUCGGAGCGUAAAGCUCUGUUGUUAAGGAAGCGGUACUUAACCAGAAAGCGACGGCUAACUACGUGCCAGCAGCCGCGGUAAUAC